This 805-nucleotide ribosomal RNA is filed under the name uncultured bacterium. Its description in RNAcentral is "bacterial SSU rRNA". It matches the Rfam family "Bacterial small subunit ribosomal RNA", at positions 95 to 933 of the family's 1533-position model. The record is from RNAcentral.
GUGGCGGACGGGUGAGUAACGCGUGAGAAUCUGCCCUCAGGAGGGGGAUAACGGUUGGAAACGACCGCUAAUACCCCAUAUGCCGAGAGGUGAAAUGAAAUUCGCCUGAGGAUGAGCUCGCGUCUGAUUAGCUAGUUGGUAGGGUAAAGGCCUACCAAGGCAUUGAUCAGUAGCUGGUCUGAGAGGAUGAUCAGCCACACUGGGACUGAGACACGGCCCAGACUCCUACGGGAGGCAGCAGUGGGGAAUUUUCCGCAAUGGGCGCAAGCCUGACGGAGCAACGCCGCGUGAGGGAUGAAGGCCUCUGGGCUGUAAACCUCUUUUAUCAAGGAAGAAGAACUGACGGUACUUGAUGAAUAAGCCACGGCUAAUUCCGUGCCAGCAGCCGCGGUAAUACGGGAGUGGCAAGCGUUAUCCGGAAUUAUUGGGCGUAAAGCGUCCGCAGGCGGUUUUACAAGUCUGUCGUUAAAGCGUGGAGCUCAACUCCAUUUCAGCGAUGGAAACUGUAAGACUCGAGUGUGGUAGGGGCAGAGGGAAUUCCCGGUGUAGCGGUGAAAUGCGUAGAUAUCGGGAAGAACACCAGUGGCGAAAGCGCUCUGCUGGGCCAUAACUGACGCUCAUGGACGAAAGCCAGGGGAGCGAAAGGGAUUAGAUACCCCUGUAGUCCACGCCGUAAACGAUGGGCACUAGUUGUGGAAACCUUCCACGGUUUCUGCGACGCAGCUAACGCAUUAAGUGCCCCGCCUGGGGAGUACGAUCGCAAGAUUAAAACUCAAAGGAAUUGACGGGGCCCCGCACAAGCAGC